AUACGUAGGGAGCAAGCGUUGUCCGGAUUUACUGGGUGUAAAGGGCGCGUAGGCGGAUUUGUUAGUCAGAGGUGAAAUCCUGCGGCUUAACCGUAGAACUGCCUUUGAUACUGCAAGUCUUGAGUUCGGAAGAGAGAGAUGGAAUUCCAGGUGUAGUGGUGAAAUACGUAGAUAUCUGGAAGAACACCAGUGGCGAAGGCGGUCUCUUGGUCCGUAACUGACGCUGAGGCGCGAAAGCGUGGGGAGCAAACAGGAUUAGAAACCCUAGUAGUCC
This 274-nucleotide ribosomal RNA is filed under the name uncultured bacterium. RNAcentral's name for it is "partial 16S ribosomal RNA". It matches the Rfam family "Bacterial small subunit ribosomal RNA", at positions 523 to 796 of the family's 1533-position model. The record is from RNAcentral.